UACGUAGGUGACCAGCGUUGUCCGGAUUUACUGGGCGUAAAGAGCGCGCAGGCGGUCGUUCAAGUCGAGUGUGAAAGCCCCCGGCUCAACUGGGGAGGGUCAUUCGAUACUGAUCGACUCGAAGGCAGGAGAGGGAAGUGGAAUUCCCGGUGUAGUGGUGAAAUGCGUAGAUAUCGGCAGGAACACCCAGGGGGAAACCAGCCGACUGGGCAUCUGCUGACGCUGAGGUGCGAGAGCGUGGGGAGCGAACCGG
RNAcentral lists this ribosomal RNA (253 nucleotides) under uncultured bacterium. RNAcentral describes it as "partial 16S ribosomal RNA". It matches the Rfam family "Bacterial small subunit ribosomal RNA", at positions 524 to 776 of the family's 1533-position model. The record is from RNAcentral.